ACUACGGGAGGCAGCAGUGAGGAAUAUUGGUCAAUGGUCGGGAGACUGAACCAGCCAAGCCGCGUGAGGGAUGAAGGUACAGAGUAUCGUAAACCUCUUUUGUCAGGGAACAAAGGCGGGGACGUGUCCCCGGAUGAGUGUACCUGAAGAAAAAGCAUCGGCUAACUCCGUGCCAGUAGCCGCGGUAAUACGGAGGAUGGGAGGGUUAUCCGGAUUUAUUGGGUUAAAAGGGUGCGCAGGCGGUCGGUUAAGUAAGCGGCCAAAGCCCGGGGCUCAACCCCGGCCCGCCGUUGAAACUGGCAGUCUCGAGUUGGAGAGAAGUAUGCGGAAUGCGCGGUGUAGCGGUGAAAUGCAUAGAUAUCGCGCAGAACUCCGAUUGCGAAGGCAGCAUGCCGGCUCCACACUGACGCUGAGGCACGAAAGCGUGGGUAUCGAACAGGAUUAGAUACCCGGGUAGUC
This 459-nucleotide ribosomal RNA is filed under the name uncultured bacterium. Its description in RNAcentral is "partial 16S ribosomal RNA". It matches the Rfam family "Bacterial small subunit ribosomal RNA", at positions 338 to 795 of the family's 1533-position model. The record is from RNAcentral.